Molecule: ribosomal RNA, 254 nt
Filed under: uncultured bacterium
Lineage: Bacteria
Description: partial 16S ribosomal RNA
Rfam family: Bacterial small subunit ribosomal RNA
Source: RNAcentral
UACGGAGGGUGCAAGCGUUAAUCGGAAUUACUGGGCGUAAAGCGCGCGUAGGCGGUUUGAUAAGUCGAUUGUGAAAUCCCCGGGCCUCAACCUGGGAAUUGCAGUCGAGACUGUCAGACUAGAGUGUGGGAGAGGGUGGUGGAAUUCCCGGUGUAGCGGUGAAAUGCGUAGAUAUCGGGAGGAACAUCAGUGGCGAAGGCGACCGCCUGGCCCAACACUGACGCUGAGGUGCGAAAGCGUGGGUAGCAAACAGG